UGUGUAAAUAAAUGUCAUUUUAAUGUGUUAAACUUCAUUAUUUUAAACUUAGGUAUAAAACUUUAUCAUUACUAAACUGGCCUGUGUUAACACUAACACUUGCACUGUUUAACUAACUCACUGGUAAGCUAGCUUGGGGUCUAUUGUUAAGGUUAAGUGAUCUGUGUCAGGUUCAAUCUCUGCAUUGGCCUGUUGUCAAGGUUCCUAUUGUUUCAAAGGUUUCAGCUUCUCGUCAUAUUUAAAGCCUUCUACUGCCUUUCAUUUGUGGCAGUAUACAUUUUCUCCUUGAGACUUGCAAUACCUGCACAGCACCAGCACAUUAUGGGGUAAGUUAAGUUAGAUCUUUUAGUAUUACAUGUAUAGUAGGGCUAUUAGGAUUUAGUGUAUUAGAUUACAUGUUUUAAGGAAUAGUGUUUUAUCAUAUUUAGUGUAUGUAAGGUGUUUGUCUAUAAAUAUAUGCAUGCUUAGUAUUUUAGACAAAUAUAUGAUGUAUUGUGUACCAGUACACUAGUAUACUAUCAUGAUGCUUUAAUUUGUAUCAUGCACAUGUAGUAUGUAUAAGUAUAUGUAUUAGCUAUUUUAUGAUUGGCAUGAUACAGUAAUGUGUAUCAUGCAUGUUUAUUAUAAGGUUUAGUUUCUAUAUGCAUAUUUAUGUAUGUAUUAGGGUAAAUAACUAUUUAUGUGUUCGCUAAUGCCAUUUAUGAUGUAUAUCUGUAUAUACUAGCAGUAUACUUAGGUAAUAUUUUGUUUAUUUAGGUUCACUAAGAAUCAGAUGUUUUAGUACCUGUUGGACUAUUCUGCCUGCGUCCCUGAGACGAGGGCGUUUUGUUAUAAUUCUGCCAACUGGGGAUCUCCUUAUCCAACGUAACCAGCGCCGAAUAAAUCCCUGAAACCACA
RNAcentral lists this long non-coding RNA (897 nucleotides) under Haliotis rubra (blacklip abalone). RNAcentral's name for it is "uncharacterized LOC124252832". Lineage: Eukaryota; Metazoa; Mollusca; Gastropoda; Lepetellida; Haliotidae. The record is from RNAcentral.